GCGCGAUUGGCUCAGUGGUAGAGCGCUUCGUUCACAUCGAAGAGGUCGCAGGUUCAAUCCCUGCAUCGCGCACCA
Molecule: transfer RNA, 75 nt
Filed under: Candidatus Portnoybacteria bacterium CG10_big_fil_rev_8_21_14_0_10_40_22
Lineage: Bacteria; Candidatus Portnoyibacteriota
Description: tRNA-Val
Rfam family: tRNA
About the family: Transfer RNA (tRNA) molecules are approximately 80 nucleotides in length.
Source: RNAcentral